This is a long non-coding RNA of Equus quagga, 348 nucleotides long. RefSeq lists it as uncharacterized. The record is from RefSeq and is a predicted model, not a curated record. NCBI's taxonomy places the organism in Eukaryota, Metazoa, Chordata, Mammalia, Perissodactyla, Equidae. The transcript is spliced from 4 exons.
GGUAGCUGGUCUUCUGUAAUCUUCAAACCAGCGCUCAGUGCAGUGAGAACGGGGGUUACUCGCGGAGUCUCUCUGGGACAUCUCUGUAGCCUGGCCUCAGGCUUAGAGCCCGAGCUGGGAGCCUGGCGGUGAAAGUUCUCAGAUCUCUGUGCAAGAGCUUCAGAAAAUGAUCAACUUCCAGGGAUCAGUGACAUUCCAGGAUGUGGCUGUGGACUUCACCCCAGAGGAGUGGCAGCUGCUUGACUGUGAUCAGAGAACCUUGUAUUGGGAUGUGAUGCUGGAGAACUUUAGAAACCUCGUCUCAGUGGGCCCUGAGACUCAAGGAGGCAGCCCUGAAUUGUGAGGUAG